RNAcentral lists this long non-coding RNA (240 nucleotides) under Panax ginseng (ginseng). Its description in RNAcentral is "long non-coding RNA (PGIN_LNC006504)". Lineage: Eukaryota; Viridiplantae; Streptophyta; Magnoliopsida; Apiales; Araliaceae. The record is from RNAcentral.
CUCUGUACAUGUUCUUUUUAGAUACAAGAUGAUGAUCAAUGCCAAACUUCCUCGAGAGGAUCAUAUUCGAGCGACCCUUGUGUGGUUAAUUACUCUAAAACAUGUUGGGAAUGUAAGAUUUGCUAAAGGACAUGUAAGUAAAAUAUGCAAAUUCUUUCACCAAUUGUUGGAUGUGCAUGAGGGAGGGGAGGGGAGGAGAAGAAACUAAAGUGCCAUGGGUAGACCCAGCAACAAGAGUGU